UGGGGAAUAUUGCACAAUGGGCGAAAGCCUGAUGCAGCAACGCCGCGUGAGUGAUGAAGGCCUUCGGGUUGUAAAGCUCUGUCUUUUGGGACGAUAAUGACGGUACCAAAGGAGGAAGCCACGGCUAACUACGUGCCAGCAGCCGCGGUAAUACGUAGGUGGCAAGCGUUGUCCGGAUUUACUGGGCGUAAAGGAUGCGUAGGCGGAUUUUUAAGUGAGAUGUGAAAUACCCGGGCUUAACUUGGGUGCUGCAUUUCAAACUGGGAAUCUAGAGUGCGGGAGAGGAGAAUGGAAUUCCUAGUGUAGCGGUGAAAAUGCGUAGAGAUUAGGAAGAAACACCAGUGGCGAAAGGCGAUUCUCUGGACCGUAACUGACGCUGAGGCAUGAAAAGCGUGGGUAGCAAAACAGGAUUAGAUACCCUGGUAGUCCACGCCGUAAAACGAUGAGUACUAGGUGUAGGAGGUAUCGACCCCUUCUGUGCCGCAGUUAACACAAUAAGUACUCCGCCUGAGAAAGUACGAUCGCAAG
This 528-nucleotide ribosomal RNA is filed under the name uncultured bacterium. RNAcentral describes it as "partial 16S ribosomal RNA". It matches the Rfam family "Bacterial small subunit ribosomal RNA", at positions 355 to 892 of the family's 1533-position model. The record is from RNAcentral.